GCCUACGGGGGGCAGCAGUCUAGAGGCUUCGGCAAUGGGGGCAACCCUGACCGAGCGACGCCGCGUGCGGGAUUGAAGGCCUUCGGGUCGUAAACCGCUGUCAUUGGGGAAGAAUGCCCGGAUGGUGAAUCCGGGAGGGACGGUACCCGAGAAGGAAGCCCCGGCUAACUCCGUGCCAGCAGCCGCGGUAAUACGGAGGGGGCGAGCGUUGUUCGGAUUUACUGGGCGUAAAGGGUGUGUAGGCGGCUGCGCAAGUCUGGUGUGAAAUCUUCACCGCUUAACGGGAAGCGUGCACUGGAAACUGCGCAGCUCGAGUAUGGUAGAGGCAAGCGGAAUUCCUGGUGUAGCGGUGGAAUGUGUAGAUAUCAGGAAGAACACCGGUGGCGAAGGCGGCUUGCUGGGCCAUCACUGACGCUGAGACACGAAAGCGUGGGGAGCAAACGGGAUUAGAUACCCCGGUAGC
RNAcentral lists this ribosomal RNA (463 nucleotides) under uncultured bacterium. RNAcentral's name for it is "bacterial SSU rRNA". It matches the Rfam family "Bacterial small subunit ribosomal RNA", at positions 337 to 794 of the family's 1533-position model. The record is from RNAcentral.